This is a long non-coding RNA of Felis catus (domestic cat), 1145 nucleotides long. RefSeq lists it as uncharacterized. The record is from RefSeq and is a predicted model, not a curated record. The transcript is spliced from 2 exons. NCBI's taxonomy places the organism in Eukaryota, Metazoa, Chordata, Mammalia, Carnivora, Felidae.
AGAUUGAAAUACCUACUCACCACGGGGUGGCCGACACUCUGAAUAGACAGUGAUGGAGAGACUUGCCUCCAUAUGUAGUGAAUCUGAAGAACAACCCCAGUAUGCAGUCCACAUGUACCAUUUCCAGGAUUCCAGAAAAUUCCCCCUUAGGCACCAGUGUGGUAAACAGUCCCCAACGAGCUCUCGGAAAAAAACAACCGAUGCAUCUGUGUGUGGAGUGUGUGUUUAUUGUACAUUUUACCAGUAUAAAAGAAGACACACUUUACACAAAUAAUAAUCAAAUACACAAUACUCUUUAAACUCCAUAUAGCCAAUUGAUCCUCAAAGAAAUCCUUUGUUGAUUUUUACCAAGCUCUUGCAUCUGUAGCCAGUCUAUGGUUGCAAUGGGUCAACACGUAUGGUUCUGACAUGAAUGUUGAUUUUUUUUUAAUGAGUAAUACAAAUGUCAAACAACUCCUCUGGGUGUCGAAACUUCACUUGGAUACAUUGGAUAAUAGUUUUCAAAUAAUGGAAGCCUAUUUCAGGUCUUUGUGCUAUUUGCAAUGUAAAGGCUAGAGAUGACAACUUAUAUCGGCAUUAUUAAUAUUUUUUCCAUCACUUUCUUAAGUCUAGAUAAUCAACAAAACAAUGAGUCAAGUCCCAACGUACAGUAUUUGCUGAUUUCUACAGUGUAAAUAGCCCUAUCACAGCCAAGGGCAAGCUGCCAUGAUGUCACCGAACCGACUUGGAAAGAGGCACAGUAACACACCAUUCUGUGGUAUUUCCAACCUACAGGCACAAUAAACAAUUUAUUCUCAGCAUAAAAUCCAUUAUUCCUUAAAAUGUCAAGAAAGUAAAGCUUUGACCAGAAGGAGGAAAGUGGGCCUGUGUGCUCCCAUCUCAGGAACAGGAGGCCGAGUGUAUGCUGGGAACGUCAGAGUGACAGCUAUCAAGACACCAGAAACAGAACCCGAUUCCUGCCCCAGGGCUUAUAACAAAGGCUCCAACCAGGCUUUUUUCCAAAAAUGUUUUUAAUUCCGACAUCCAUCUUAAUGGCUUACGGUAGCCUAAUUUAGCCAGUAGUUUGUUAUACUAAAAAUGGAAGCUAAUGAUUUCAGCUAAAAACAACUAAGUCCGUGCCAUCAAAGUAUAUUGUAAGAAACUGA